Long non-coding RNA from Oncorhynchus tshawytscha (Chinook salmon), 1513 nucleotides. The record is from Ensembl. Lineage: Eukaryota; Metazoa; Chordata; Actinopteri; Salmoniformes; Salmonidae.
CUUUUUUAAUGUCUGUGCGAAAAGGAAACCGACAGUUGCAGCGACGGCCUACAGACAUUCCACCAGAGUUUGACUCACAUUCUAAAUUGUCUACAGACAUGUCGUUAGACCAAUUAUAAACCGGCCUUAAGUCAUUAGCUUGGCUUUUGUAACGUAUAAGGCUGAAGCAGACAGGCUGACAGACAGAGAACAAAAAGAAGCACAGAGUUACAGCAGGGAAACUAAAUGGCUAGAGCAGAGGCACAGUUAAUAGCGGGGUCGCCGACUGCCAGGGUAUAUACUGCGGACGGAGGAGGAAGUGAGAGAGCAGCAAAAAGAAGUGACCUCAUCAACAACAUUGUGGUGCUACUGCAUGAUUCAAUAAUGUACUGAUUUUCAACUACUAAUAUGUCCCUUUUUUCUUUUAAAGUGUGAAUCUCGGGCAAUGGCAAAACCAGAGCCUGUUUGAUCUUUUAUUCUGAAACUGUGAUCAUGUGUUUAUUGUUCCUCACCUGUACUUUAGCCCCUCCUGUGUGUACCCCAUUUACCCAUUUAGCUCCACCACGAAUCAUGUUUGUUUAAAACACUGAUACUAAGGCGUCCCACAACGGAGUGCCUCUAGACCUGUCUGUAUGCUGACUAAACUGUCUGUUUUCUGAUUAAUGUGACUAACAUCCCUCUAUAAAGCUAUGCUAUUGACACACAGGCCCAGACUUACUCAACAUUUGCACCUGCACUUUUCAAUAUACCUAGUUUUUGUUCAAGUUGUUUAGUUGCAAACUUUUACAAUAUCUGGCCCAAGGCGUCUUGAGAUAUAUACACACACUGCUGCCAUAAAUGAAAAUCAUAGGAGAUAUCUUUAGAGUGGUAAUCUUACAACCACCAUUUUUGAUUUAGAACUGUGUCCACUCUGAACCCUCAAAAGGCAGUGUGUGUCCACAGCAACACUCAUGUUCUAACUCUGAUUCUAGUUUCAGCAGUUCUCAAAAAAAAGGAGCUUAUUGCCCUUAGUAAAGGUUUUAAGAUCUUAUAUGCAGUCGUGUAUAAUGUCUUUACAGAAUAUAUAUAGUAAGGUUUAACUAAGCCACUUGCCUGAAAUAUUAUCAACAUCUUUCUGAAUGGCUGUAUAACACUGAAUUGCUGUGAGUGUUUUGAAUACUUAAUCACACCGAUAUGACUGUGUUAGUACAGCCAUAGUUGAGAUGACUGAAAAUGCAAACGUAUAUUUUCUUUGUUUAAAAUCCUCAUCUUGGCUUUACUGAGAGCAACAGUACCUACAUGACAUUUGCAGUUGAUUAAAACUAAUAUUAUAAUCAUGCAAUCCAGAGAUUGGCCUGUUUUCAGACCUAUCACCGUAAAACAUAAUUCUGUUAACUCAAAUUAUUUGAAAAACUGAUUGCCUUGACUCAUUAAAUUAAAGCAACACAUUUUUUUGUAAGUUACCAGUACUCAGUUCAUUUUGUUUUAGUGACUUAGAAGAUUAUGUUACACAGUGAACUGUAGAGAGCAUAUAACUGCAGACUGUUGACAAAAG